Molecule: ribosomal RNA, 520 nt
Filed under: uncultured Glomus
Lineage: Eukaryota; Fungi; Glomeromycota; Glomeromycetes; Glomerales; Glomeraceae
Description: SSU rRNA
Rfam family: Eukaryotic small subunit ribosomal RNA
Source: RNAcentral
AGCAGCCGCGGUAAUUCCAGCUCCAAUAGCGUAUAUUAAAGUUGUUGCAGUUAAAAAGCUCGUAGUUGAAUUUCGGGGUUAGUAGGCUGGUCGUGCCACAGGUACGUACUGGUCUCACUGAUUCCUCCUUCCUGAUGAACCGUAAUGCCAUUAAUUUGGUGUUGCGGGGAAACUGGACUGUUACUUUGAAAAAAUUAGAGUGUUUAAAGCAGGCUAACGCUUGAAUACAUUAGCAUGGAAUAAUGAAAUAGGACGUUCGAUCCUAUUUUGUUGGUUUCUAGGAUUGACGUAAUGAUUAAUAGGGAUAGUUGGGGGCAUUAGUAUUCAAUUGUCAGAGGUGAAAUUCUUGGAUUUAUUGAAGACUAACUACUGCGAAAGCAUUUGCCAAGGAUGUUUUCAUUAAUCAAGAACGAAAGUUAGGGGAUCGAAGACGAUCAGAUACCGUCGUAGUCUUAACCAUAAACUAUGCCGACUAGGGAUCGGAUGAUGUUAAUUUUUAAUGACUCAUUCGGCGCCUUAC